Carassius auratus (goldfish) is the source of this 982-nucleotide long non-coding RNA. RefSeq lists it as uncharacterized. The transcript has 2 exons. NCBI's taxonomy places the organism in Eukaryota, Metazoa, Chordata, Actinopteri, Cypriniformes, Cyprinidae. The record is from RefSeq and is a predicted model, not a curated record.
UAACUUUUUUUUCUUAAUCGUGUUAAAAACAAAAAAUAAUGCUGAAAUAUGAAUAUGAUAUCUUAAUGACUUUGUUGUGCUUUAUGUGUUUCUCUGGUAUGAAUCCUGUUUCCACAUCUCCACAUCAAGCAAAUCUUUCCAUAACACAGGAGAUCCCAUCGCUCUCCUGUGGCCUCAUGAGUGAGAGAGGGAACCACCUGCCAGGGGGUAUAACCAGUGCCAGCGUCAUCCUUGCCUGUGAAAUCAUUCCUCAGCGGAUGUUUUCUGCUGGGAUUGUUGUUGUUGAAGUUCCUCAGAGGCAUCGCUGCAUGUCGUAUUACAUCAUAUAGUGAAAUUCUGUCUGCUCACCAAGGAGAUUCGAGCAGACGUAUCCCAGCAUAACACAUAUUUCUGCUAUUAGAGCUUUUCCUCCUUUCUGCGUAUAUCUGGAAACAUCGAAUAAAUCAACGUCUGCUUGGCAUUCAGCAGGUGAAGAUGAUAUGUCAUCGUUAUACAAAGAUGUGGGAAAGAUGGAGUGACUUAAUGAAAGAUGAGCUGCGGCGAGAGAGGAGGAGACAGAUGAAGAAAGACUCUGCCUGCAGGUGAUUCAGGUCAGCGCUCUCACAGAUGAGCCGCUGCCACGGUUACCAUCUCUAUGGAAACUAGGAGGUGUUCCAUUGCGAUAGAACUGCCACCCUGAUGUUUCUGAUGAACCACUAGCUGCUGAAUGCCAGCUCACUGACUGUGUCCAUGCAGGAGAAGGACAUGCCUUUUCAGUUGCGUCUUCAUAAAUGGAAAAAUAUGAAACGACAUUUAUUUUUACUUCCUAAUGUGAUGUAUUUUAAGUUAACAAGAUAUUCACAAAAGAAAAAAUGCAGGGUUUUAUUAGAUUUUGCCCAUUUUAGAAUUGUUUGGUAAAGGCUUGAUGAUGUCAUCUGAAAACGGCAGUUGAUUCAAAGGUGUUUUUUUUUUUUAAUGAAUAAAAAUACAAUGUCAGACUUUU